CCUACGGGAGGCAGCAGUAGGGAAUAUUGCUCAAUGGGGGAAACCCUGAAGCAGCAACGCCGCGUGGAGGAUGAAGGUUUUCGGAUUGUAAAGUCCUUUUGUUAGAGAAGAUAAUGACGGUAUCUAACGAAUAAGCACCGGCUAACUCCGUGCCAGCAGCCGCGGUAAUACGGAGGGUGCAAGGGUUACUCGGAAUCACGGGGCGUAAAGAGCGUGUAGGCGGGAUAGGAAGUCAGAUGUGAAAUCCUAUGGCUUAACCAUAGAACUGCAUUUGAAACUGUUAUUCUAGAGUAUGGGAGAGGUAAGUGGAAUUCUUGGUGUAGGGGUAAAAUGCGUAGAGAUCAAGAGGAAUACUCAUUGCGAAGGCGACCUGCUAGAACAUAACUGACGCUGAUGCGCGAAAGCGUGGGGAGCAAACAGGAUUAGAUACCCGUGUAGUC
This 440-nucleotide ribosomal RNA is filed under the name uncultured bacterium. RNAcentral describes it as "partial 16S ribosomal RNA". It matches the Rfam family "Bacterial small subunit ribosomal RNA", at positions 338 to 795 of the family's 1533-position model. The record is from RNAcentral.